CUUGAGUGAACCCAGCCAGAGAGGCCGCCCCUCGGGACGACCGCGACCGUAGGUGUCGAUCAGGGCCUGUGCCUC
RNAcentral lists this antisense RNA (75 nucleotides) under Nocardiopsis sp. L17-MgMaSL7. RNAcentral describes it as "ASpks TB sRNA". It matches the Rfam family "ASpks TB sRNA". The record is from Rfam by way of RNAcentral. Lineage: Bacteria; Bacillati; Actinomycetota; Actinomycetes; Streptosporangiales; Nocardiopsidaceae.